UAACUAAUUUUUGUCAAUAUUAUAAACACAUACAAAGUGAUAGGCGUGAGCAGAAAUUCCGGCCCCGACCGAAUCCGAAGUGCCCGCAGAAACCCUAACCGCCGCCGCUCACACAAACUACAAAUCCUAACGCCGGGAGAGUAGUCAUGUGAACCCUAGCACGGUUCAUUCAUCUCCUUCUGCCACUGGAUAAUUGUUUUCUCCUCUCUGUUUACUGCCAAUCUGCUUGUCUCCUUCUAACAUCGCGAAGAACAGUUUGCUAGUUUCUUCAUGGAUCUAUUCCACACAACCUAAGCUCCUGCAUUGCCUUAAAUCAGUUUAAUGUCCAUGGUAAUCAUUUAAGUGGUUCUGUUCCAUUGAGCUUUCGCAGCCUUGGGAGUUUGACAUACAUG
Molecule: non-coding RNA, 392 nt
Organism: Cajanus cajan (pigeon pea)
Lineage: Eukaryota; Viridiplantae; Streptophyta; Magnoliopsida; Fabales; Fabaceae
Source: RefSeq, a predicted model, not a curated record